CGGGCAGAAAAUUCAAUUAGUCUCGAGCAAAUGCCUUCCUAAAGGACACAGAAAACGAAAAUAAAGAGGAGAAAUCUGCUUUCAUCCUGUACAGAAAGAGGCUUUGCGGGGGGAAAUACAGAUUAGGGAGAUAAAGAGGCAGGUUUAAGGCUUUCAAAAAGGGUUCUUUCUUCUUCCUUUCUCUCUCUCUCUCCUCUUUCUUUCUUUCUCUUUCUUUCUUUCUUUUUCUUUCUUUUCUUUCUCUCUCUCUCUGUCUCUUUCUUUCCCUCUUUCUCCCUCCCUCCCUCUUUCUCCCUCUCUUUCCCACAGGCAUGAUGACCAAAUUCUCACUUGCACCACCGCUGAAUCGAUCCAAAUCCCUACGUAAGGACAACAGCAUGUUACAGCAUUUGCCUUGGUGUGAGUAAGAACCCAAACCGGCCCCUGGUUUUUGCCUGUCUCUACAGCUCCUCCGUUCAGGUGCGAGGGGGAGACGGCAAGAGAUGCACUGUACCAAAAUGAUGUCCUGAUUGCAAACUUUAAUGGCUCGCUGCAGUCCUGCACYGAGAUUUUAAGGCGUUCAGUGUCUCUCAAGGGAAGGAGGGAAAGAAAAGCCGCAAACAACACAGGAAUUGCCUGGAGGGGAGAAAAGCUGGCUGUCCUUGCUUCCAGUAUCAGCCACUGCCAUCUCUUUAGGUGCACCCAACAGCUGGCGGGCGACUUGUUUUUAUCUUGCUUGCUUCUCCCUCCGAUGUCUCUCUCGAGCUUCCUGCCACUUUCCCCGGCCACACAAACAACCGAUGCGCUUGGCUCUUUCCGCUGGUUGCACUGGCUCCGCUGUCCAGACCACAGGGAGGAUGGACUGGAGCCGUUUCAGGUUGCUUUAGGAGACGAAUGCAUAGCUGUGGCCUUCCCAGGUUUGCCAGUCGGCAGGAGGAUUAGCCAAGUCUCCGGAGUGCCAAGAGGAGAGGCCGUGUAGGAAAGAGCGCGUAGACAGUGGAGUCAGAAAGCAAGAGAGUGGAAGAAGAGGAAAAAAAUAGGAAAAGAGACAGACUGCAGACUCAAAGACAGAAAAUCAGCUUGGAGACAGAGGUUUUGGGGUGUGGGUGUGUGUCUUGGCUUUUCCGAGCACUCGCGUCCCCCCCGGUCUUGGCUUGCUCUGUCCGAAAGCUCUGCUGCCAGGCGGGAGCAGCGAAGGAGUGGUGCAAGCGCAGCGCCGCGGCUCCCGCUGUCUCUGCGACGACGGCGGCUGCAGAGCCGCGUCCCGUCAGCGCUGGUUAACCAGUGACUAGCUCGUAGCCCCGAGCUCCCGCCGGCUGCUUUCAUCUCCCGGCCGACGGCAAGGCUGACUCUUUCUUCGGCAGCUUCCUAUGCGACAUCUGGACCCUGCGAGCGCUGGCGCUGCCGAGCCGGCAGCAGCGCAGCAACCGCGGAGGCAGCAAGGUCCCGGGUCCGAGGAGCGGCUGGGCUCAGUCUCGCUGCUGCCCGCUGCUUCUUCCCAGCACGGACCCAAGGUGCAGUGGCGCUCUGUGGACACCCCGCUGGGUGGCCUGCACGUCCAGCCUCCCGCCCCCGCACGUCCCCCCAGUUUCUCCGGCAGUAGAUCAUUUCAAGCCUCUUCUGGGGUGGCAAAAUGAGCGGCCUUGAGGCAGUGCCACGCUGAGCUGUGCCUGCCCUUCCGCUGUGCCCCGGCACGUGGCCGGGGUGUGGUAGCCUCAUCCUCUUUCUUCUUAGCCCUUAGGACUCACCAGUAACCCUAUUUCCCCCAGCACGCUUUCAGAGGAGACCGACCACGCACCGCCUGAGGCUUGAGCAGUCUUAAGAGAGGGGCUGGCAGACACCAGCUCGUGCCAGACCCCUCAUGUCCAUCCAUGAGCUCAUCGUGGCCUUCCCAACCACUGCCCUGGACCCCAGCUCUGCUGAGACCCUUCUCUUCCCUCACUUUAAAUAUGGCCUUUCCCGCAGCUCUCCCCUAAGCAGGGCUACCCCUUUACCCUGCUCCCAGAAAAGUGCCCACGCCUGUUCCCCUCGUGGUCUGAUGAGACAAAGUAGAAAAAAACGGUCGGAGCCGGGAAGAAAGGAGCUGGUCUGGAAAUGAAUAGAAGCUGCUGGUCAGGCUGCCGCCAAGCAAACAAAGGCUUUCCAGCGUGUAACGGCUUGUCUACGCGGGGAAAUUAAUUGGAACAGCUUUUCCAAAUUAGCUGAAUCUGAUGAUGAUAAAAAUAAUAAAAACAAAUAGUGGAUUAAGUUAAAUUAGGAA
Long non-coding RNA from Apteryx rowi (Okarito brown kiwi), 2239 nucleotides. NCBI's taxonomy places the organism in Eukaryota, Metazoa, Chordata, Aves, Apterygiformes, Apterygidae. The record is from Ensembl.